This is a long non-coding RNA of Aegilops tauschii subsp. strangulata, 1669 nucleotides long. RefSeq lists it as uncharacterized. NCBI's taxonomy places the organism in Eukaryota, Viridiplantae, Streptophyta, Magnoliopsida, Poales, Poaceae. The record is from RefSeq and is a predicted model, not a curated record.
CGUCCGUAAGGUAAUUCCCCACUGCCUGCCUGCUUGCUUCAACUCCCAACCAAAACAGCAGAGCAGCCGCCGCCGGCUGUUGACCCCGGCGCCACCAAUUAGCCACCGCCGCCGCCGCCGCCGCCGGGCUCCCUUCUCCUGCUCCCCGCUACCCACUCCAGUCCCCUCAGAAACAGUUAAUUCAGAUGAAAACCAAUGGAUCAUCUGCCAAGAGUCAGGAAAUCGGGUCAAAAAGAAAGUGGAAGAACCAACAUGAACAUACAGAGAAGCACAUCGCAUGGCAUUCCUUUGGGUACCAAGGCCACUAUCCGCAACAGAGGCCUGCACGGGACAAAAAGAACGGGGUAAUCACUUGUUUGGUCUGUGGCAAGGAAGGACAUUACAGUCGUAAAUGCCUGUGGAGAGAUAGGGCACAGUACCAGUACACAUGGUCUCAGUUGCUCAAGCUGUGACGAGUAUCAUGAGGAUGGAGAGUGCCGAUUGGGCGGUGUUAAAUGCUUUCUUUGUGAGUGUCAGGAUCAUUAUCUUGCUAAGUGCCCCUUGAAUUCAGUAUUGACUGAGGCAUUUCAGAGUCAGAGAGAGAACUUCCAAGCUGCUCUGCGGCUUGCACUAUCAAAACAACGCGACCCAUCAUCUACACCUCCCAAGUGUUCCGCAAAAUCAGAAGGAAAAGUACUGGCCGCCAACAAGCCUAAAUCGAUUGUCCGAUGUGUAAGGUGUGGUGAGGAAGGGCACAGGCGCAAGAAGUGUCCGUUGAAACAUCAAUCGUAGACCGUGCACAAGUCUAGUCCUUUGGUUACAGUAGACAACACAUCAACAUGAGUGGUUACAUGCUUCCGUUGCAAGGAAGAAGGCCACUGCGCCAAACGAUGCCCUCAGAAGCACCGGAAGCAUUAAGACUGCUCCACCAGGAGCUAUCGGUAUAGCAAACAGUGGUACUCAUAAUGACUAUACAUGGCAUUACAUUUUCAAUCACGCCGAGAAGCAGCUUGGGAAGAGAUCUUGGCACUGAAGAUACAACCAAGGGGGAAAGAUACUUACUGAGCUGAGCCAGACCUCCUCCCUUGACCAAAAAGUUACUGCACAGUUACUGUCUUUUUCUUGUGAUACUCUAGCGGUUGAAAGUUGUCAAGGAAGGGCAUUUAUAUCAUGUGUUUUCGGAAUGUCUUUUUCUGAGAUGAUGUUGAUGCCAAUUGACGAUCUGAUGAGAAGACAUUCCCAAGACGGGAUUCGCAGCCGCUUGCAUUGUGCAUGUUUGCUGGCAUAUUCAUUGGUAGUAAAUGCUUCUCCAUACUUCAUGUACUUGGUGAACAAGUGUACGGGAUACAUCUGGGGCAUCAGCAGACAGCACAGAGGAUGGAAAGUGGAAACUCGCCGUGUGUAUUCGAAUUAUCCGGCGUUCGUAUUUUGCUCACCAGGUUUCAUGGCUUGUCUGUAUAAGGGCUGAAACUGUGCGCUCUUGAGGGCUCAUCUUUGAGAGUGGGGUGUUUUGGAGCCCCUUUUCUGUUUUUUUUUCUUAAUUACAAAUCAUUUUUUUAAAAGUUUACAAAAUAUAUGAAAGUAUACACAAGUACUUAAGGAUGUAUUCUACAUGUGUGUAAAGUUUCAUGAUGAGAUACUUGAAGAGUUGAGCUCCACAGGAACAACAAAAAACAAGUUCAUGUGUAAA